CCCUGUUUAGCUCAGUUGGUAGAGCGCUCCACUUGUAAUGGAGAGGUCCCGGGUUCGAUACCCGGACCAGGCG
This is a non-coding RNA of Ixodes scapularis (black-legged tick), 73 nucleotides long. The record is from Rfam. Lineage: Eukaryota; Metazoa; Arthropoda; Arachnida; Ixodida; Ixodidae.